GCCCAUAACCUAAUUCUCUCUGUGCCUCCAAACCUUGCAGGGAAGAUGCCAGUAAUUUUCCAGAUUUGUCCCCUGCCUCCACAGUUCAGCCAACACCACCUGCUGCCGUGUCACUGAGGGGCCACAGCCACCAAAAAGGAGCUGAUGCAAAAUCUUCUCCUUUCUCCAAUGCCAAACAGGAUUGAGGAGAGGGUAACUCACUUUCAGGACAUGUCAAGAAGUCCAUGAGAAAAAGCACUCCAUGUGAUGUGAUCAAUUAACAAAAUACCCACCUAUAAUUACAUUUAAUUAUGAAGAAAAUAAAUCAUAC
This 310-nucleotide long non-coding RNA is filed under the name Cyanistes caeruleus (blue tit). Its description in RNAcentral is "lncRNA (ENSCCEG00000010172.1)". Lineage: Eukaryota; Metazoa; Chordata; Aves; Passeriformes; Paridae. The record is from RNAcentral.